Molecule: non-coding RNA, 1090 nt
Organism: Pelobates cultripes (western spadefoot toad)
Lineage: Eukaryota; Metazoa; Chordata; Amphibia; Anura; Pelobatidae
Source: the annotation of a GenBank genome assembly
GGAAGACUCUCGGGCCAGGGCAUGUUAGUUUCUUGUGACAUUUUAAGCAUUCUGGCUUUCAAAGUGCCAUUCAUGCGCUCUACCUUACCACUACUCUGUGGGUGAUAUGGUGUGUGGAAUGCAAGGGUCACCCCCAGUGCUGACCAGACUUCCCGUGUUAGCGAGGCAGUGAAGGAGGUCCCUUGGUCACUUUCAAUUACUUCUGGAACCCCAUAGCGGCAAACAAUUUCUGUCAAGAGAUACUUGGCUGUAGUCCUCGCGGUGAGAUUAGUCACUGGGAAGGCCUCUGGCCUCUGGCCAGGAACUUUUUCCAGCUAGUUUAACUGACGUUGCUGUAAUCAGGAGCACUUGAUAAGGACCAUCAAAUCUCGGUUCUAGGGUGUGUUUCCUGAGGAACUUCUUAACCAUAACCCAAUCACCUGGAAGCAGCUUGUGUGUACCUGUAUUCGACUCAGGAUCUGGAAUAGAAGAAAACACUUGGGCAUGUAUCUUGGUCAAGGCAUGUGAAAGGGCAGUCACAUAGUCUACCAUAGCGUCUGACUGAAUCUGAAGCUGUUGGGGAAAGUAGCAACCUAACCUGGGUGCUGUACCAAACAAAAUCUCAUAAGGUGACAAACUGUAUUUUCCUCUGGGAGUGUACCUUACACUGAAUAACGCUAGUGGGAGACUCUCGGGCCAGGGCAUGUUAGUUUCUUGUGACAUUUUAAGCAUUCUGGCUUUCAAAGUGCCAUUCAUGCGCUCUACCUUACCACUACUCUGUGGGUGAUAUGGUGUGUGGAAUGCAAGGGUCACCCCCAGUGCUGACCAGACUUCCCGUGUUAGCGAGGCAGUGAAGGAGGUCCCUUGGUCACUUUCAAUUACUUCUGGAACCCCAUAGCGGCAAACAAUUUCUGUCAAGAGAUAUUUGGCUGUAGUCCUCGCGGUGAGAUUAGUCACUGGGAAGGCCUCUGGCCAUCCUGAAAACAUGUCCACUAUGACCAAUGCAUAUUCAUAACGUCCACUCUUUGGCAUCUGAAUGUGAUCAAUCUGGAUCCUCUGAAAGGGAUAUUGCGGCUUGGCUAGGUGAUUAGGUGCAGUCUUUAUAAUCUUU